GAAUGAAGGAGGUGAGUAAGGGUUUGGGGUUUUAUUUUUUAUAGUUUUGAGAAUGAAAAUUAUUAAAACAAGGCAAGUGUUUUUUAUUUUUUUUCAAUUGGGGAUAAAGUAGGGAUGACAGAGAAAAGGUUGGGAGUUUCUUUUUUUAUUUUUUUAAUUUUGAGAAUGAAACCCUUAACCUUAAAACUUAGAAUUCAUGGUAUAUAAGAAUAUUUUUGUCUACUGAAACUCAGUACACAUUGCUAAAAUAUACCAACUGAAAAACAG
This 267-nucleotide long non-coding RNA is filed under the name Vigna radiata. RNAcentral's name for it is "long non-coding RNA (VRAD_LNC004527)". The record is from RNAcentral. Lineage: Eukaryota; Viridiplantae; Streptophyta; Magnoliopsida; Fabales; Fabaceae.